RNAcentral lists this ribosomal RNA (468 nucleotides) under uncultured bacterium. Its description in RNAcentral is "partial 16S ribosomal RNA". It matches the Rfam family "Bacterial small subunit ribosomal RNA", at positions 28 to 507 of the family's 1533-position model. The record is from RNAcentral.
GACGAACGCUGGCGGCGUGCUUAACACAUGCAAGUCGAACGGCAAGGCCCUGCUUUUGUGCGGUGCUCGAGUGCCGAACGCGUGAGUAACACGUGUGUAACCUGCCCUUCUCUUUCGGAUAACUUCACGAAACUGGGGCUAAUACCGUAUAGGAUCUCCUGCUCCAUGGUGGGGGUUGGAUAGUUUCGGCGGUUGGGGAUGGACGCGCGGCUUAUGAGCUUGCUGGUGGGGGAGUGGCUUACCAAGGCUGUGACGGGUCGCCGGCCUGGGAGGGUGGCCGGGGACAUUAGGACUGAGAGACGGCGCAGACGGCAACGGGAGGCAGCGGUGGAGAAUAUUGCACAAUGGGCGGAAGCCUGAUGAAGAGACGCCGGGGGCGGGAUGACGGCCUGCGGGUUGUGAACCGCUUUAGCCUGUGACGAAGCGGGAGUGACGGUAAUGGGUAAAGAAGCACCGGCUAACUACGUG